CGCAAGCCUGACGGAGCAAGACCGCGUGCGGGAUGACGGCCUAAUGGUUGUAAACCGCUUUUCUCUGGGAAGAAGAUGACGGUACCAGAGGAAUAAGCCUCGGCUAACUCCGUGCCAGCAGCCGCGGUAAUACGGAGGAGGCAAGCGUUAUCCGGAAUUAUUGGGCGUAAAGCGUCCGUAGGUGGUUAUUCAAGUCUGCUGUCAAAGCGUGGGGCUUAACUCCAUAGAGGCAGUGGAAACUGGAUGACUUGAGUGCGGUAGGGGUCGAGGGAAUUCCCAGUGUAGCGGUGAAAUGCGUAGAUAUUGGGAAGAACACCAGUGGCGAAAGCGCUCGACUGGGCCUGCACUGACACUGAGGGACGAAAGCUAGGGGAGCG
This 377-nucleotide ribosomal RNA is filed under the name uncultured cyanobacterium. Its description in RNAcentral is "bacterial SSU rRNA". It matches the Rfam family "Bacterial small subunit ribosomal RNA", at positions 376 to 770 of the family's 1533-position model. Lineage: Bacteria; Bacillati; Cyanobacteriota. The record is from RNAcentral.